RNAcentral lists this ribosomal RNA (621 nucleotides) under Mycobacterium sp. Se3Ps_2676. RNAcentral's name for it is "bacterial SSU rRNA". It matches the Rfam family "Bacterial small subunit ribosomal RNA", at positions 395 to 1028 of the family's 1533-position model. The record is from RNAcentral. Lineage: Bacteria; Bacillati; Actinomycetota; Actinomycetes; Mycobacteriales; Mycobacteriaceae.
CGCCGCGUGAGGGAUGACGGCCUUCGGGUUGUAAACCUCUUUCAGCAGGGACGAAGCGCAAGUGACGGUACCUGUAGAAGAAGGACCGGCCAACUACGUGCCAGCAGCCGCGGUAAUACGUAGGGUCCGAGCGUUGUCCGGAAUUACUGGGCGUAAAGAGCUCGUAGGUGGUUUGUCGCGUUGUUCGUGAAAACUCACAGCUUAACUGUGGGCGUGCGGGCGAUACGGGCAGACUUGAGUACUGCAGGGGAGACUGGAAUUCCUGGUGUAGCGGUGGAAUGCGCAGAUAUCAGGAGGAACACCGGUGGCGAAGGCGGGUCUCUGGGCAGUAACUGACGCUGAGGAGCGAAAGCGUGGGGAGCGAACAGGAUUAGAUACCCUGGUAGUCCACGCCGUAAACGGUGGGUACUAGGUGUGGGUUUCCUUCCUUGGGAUCCGUGCCGUAGCUAACGCAUUAAGUACCCCGCCUGGGGAGUACGGCCGCAAGGCUAAAACUCAAAGAAAUUGACGGGGGCCCGCACAAGCGGCGGAGCAUGUGGAUUAAUUCGAUGCAACGCGAAGAACCUUACCUGGGUUUGACAUGCACAGGACGUGCCUAGAGAUAGGUAUUCCCUUGUGGCC